UCCUACGGGAGGCAGCAGUGAGGAAUAUUGGUCAAUGGGCGAGAGCCUGAACCAGCCAAGUAGCGUGCAGGAUGACGGCCCUAUGGGUUGUAAAACUGCUUUUAUGCGGGGAUAAAGUGAGCCACGUGUGGCUUAUUGCAGGUACCGCAUGAAUAAGGACCGGCUAAUUCCGUGC
This 175-nucleotide ribosomal RNA is filed under the name uncultured bacterium. RNAcentral's name for it is "partial 16S ribosomal RNA". It matches the Rfam family "Bacterial small subunit ribosomal RNA", at positions 337 to 508 of the family's 1533-position model. The record is from RNAcentral.